AGUGAACGCUGGCGGUAGGCCUAACACAUGCAAGUCGAACGGCAGCACAGUAAGAGCUUGCUCUUACGGGUGGCGAGUGGCGGACGGGUGAGGAAUACAUCGGAAUCUACUUUUUCGUGGGGGAUAACGUAGGGAACCUUACGCUAAUACCGCAUACGACCUACGGGUGAAAGCAAGGGAUCUUCGGACCUUGCGCGAUUGAAUGAGCCGAUGUCGGAUUAGCUAGUUGGCGGGGUAAAGGCCCACCAAGGCGACGAUCCGUAGCUGGUCUGAGAGGAUGAUCAGCCACACUGGAACUGAGACACGGUCCAGACUCCUACGGGAGGCAGCAGUGGGGAAUAUUGGACAAUGGGCGCAAGCCUGAUCCAGCCAUACCGCGUGGGUGAAGAAGGCCUUCGGGUUGUAAAGCCCUUUUGUUGGGAAAGAAAAGCAGCAGGUUAAUACCCCGCUGUUCUGACGGUACCCAAAGAAUAAGCACCGGCUAACUUCGUG
RNAcentral lists this ribosomal RNA (492 nucleotides) under uncultured bacterium. Its description in RNAcentral is "partial 16S ribosomal RNA". It matches the Rfam family "Bacterial small subunit ribosomal RNA", at positions 29 to 507 of the family's 1533-position model. The record is from RNAcentral.